RNAcentral lists this unclassified non-coding RNA (300 nucleotides) under uncultured Ascomycota. RNAcentral describes it as "sequence contains 5.8S rRNA gene, ITS2". The stretch from base 1 to 71 matches the Rfam family "5.8S ribosomal RNA", at positions 84 to 154 of the family's 154-position model. The record is from RNAcentral. Lineage: Eukaryota; Fungi; Ascomycota.
GUGAGUCAUCGAAUCUUUGAACGCACAUUGCGCCCGCCAGCACUCUGGCGGGCAUGCCUGCUCGAGCGUCAGUCUAACCAUUAGGCUCUCUUAGAUGAGGGCCUAUGUUGGGGCCCUGCAGACACCGGCAGGCCCUGAAAACCAGUGGCGGGCUCGCGGUUGCCCCGAGCGUAGUAACAUCUAUGUCGCUUGCGGAGGGGCCUCGAGACUUCCAGCCAUUAAAUACGCCCUGCGCGUGGGGGGGGGGGCUAUUCCUUGUCCCCCUCCAAAGCAACAUUGACCUCGGAUUAGGUAGGAGGA